AACGCGAAAUGCUAGCUGUAAUC
This 23-nucleotide microRNA is filed under the name Heligmosomoides polygyrus. RNAcentral's name for it is "hpo-miR-10024-5p". The record is from miRBase by way of RNAcentral. Lineage: Eukaryota; Metazoa; Nematoda; Chromadorea; Rhabditida; Heligmosomidae.